UACGUAGGGUGCAAGCGUUGUCCGGAAUUAUUGGGCGUAAAGAGCUCGUAGGCGGUCUGUCGCGUCGGCUGUGAAAUCCCGAGGCUCAACCUCGGGUCUGCAGUCGAUACGGGCAAACUAGAGUAUUGCAGGGGAGACUGGAAUUCCUGGUGUAGCGGUGAAAUGCGCAGAUAUCAGGAGGAACACCGGUGGCGAAGGCGGGUCUCUGGGCCGAUAUCGACGCUGAGGAGCGAAAGCGUGGGGAGCGAACAGG
RNAcentral lists this ribosomal RNA (253 nucleotides) under uncultured bacterium. Its description in RNAcentral is "partial 16S ribosomal RNA". It matches the Rfam family "Bacterial small subunit ribosomal RNA", at positions 524 to 776 of the family's 1533-position model. The record is from RNAcentral.